This 770-nucleotide ribosomal RNA is filed under the name Klebsiella michiganensis. RNAcentral's name for it is "partial 23S ribosomal RNA". It matches the Rfam family "Bacterial large subunit ribosomal RNA", at positions 419 to 1191 of the family's 2925-position model. RNAcentral also lists the same sequence under 1 other name. Lineage: Bacteria; Pseudomonadati; Pseudomonadota; Gammaproteobacteria; Enterobacterales; Enterobacteriaceae. The record is from RNAcentral.
GGGACACGUGGUAUCCUGUCUGAAUAUGGGGGGACCAUCCUCCAAGGCUAAAUACUCCUGACUGACCGAUAGUGAACCAGUACCGUGAGGGAAAGGCGAAAAGAACCCCGGCGAGGGGAGUGAAAAAGAACCUGAAACCGUGUACGUACAAGCAGUAGGAGCCCACUUGUUGGGUGACUGCGUACCUUUUGUAUAAUGGGUCAGCGACUUAUAUUCUGUAGCAAGGUUAACCGUAUAGGGGAGCCGCAGGGAAACCGAGUCUUAACUGGGCGUUAAGUUGCAGGGUAUAGACCCGAAACCCGGUGAUCUAGCCAUGGGCAGGUUGAAGGUUGGGUAACACUAACUGGAGGACCGAACCGACUAAUGUUGAAAAAUUAGCGGAUGACUUGUGGCUGGGGGUGAAAGGCCAAUCAAACCGGGAGAUAGCUGGUUCUCCCCGAAAGCUAUUUAGGUAGCGCCUCGUGAACUCAUCUUCGGGGGUAGAGCACUGUUUCGGCUAGGGGGUCAUCCCGACUUACCAACCCGAUGCAAACUACGAAUACCGAAGAAUGUUAUCACGGGAGACACACGGCGGGUGCUAACGUCCGUCGUGAAGAGGGAAACAACCCAGACCGCCAGCUAAGGUCCCAAAGUCAUGGUUAAGUGGGAAACGAUGUGGGAAGGCCCAGACAGCCAGGAUGUUGGCUUAGAAGCAGCCAUCAUUUAAAGAAAGCGUAAUAGCUCACUGGUCGAGUCGGCCUGCGCGGAAGAUGUAACGGGGCUAAACCAUG